UGGUCAAGUUAUUAAGGGUGCAGGGCGGAUGCCUUGGCACUAGGAGCCGAUGAAGGACGUGAUAAGCUGCGAUAAGCUUCGGGGAGUUGCACGUAAACUUUGAUCCGAAGAUUUCCGAAUGAGGAAACUCACUUAGAGUAAUGUCUAAGUAUCAUUAAGUGAAUACAUAGCUUAAUGAGGGGAACUCAGGGAACUGAAACAUCUAAGUACCUGAAGGAAGAGAAAGAAAUUCGAUUCCGUAAGUAGCGGCGAGCGAACGCGGAUUAGCCCAAACCAAUAAAGUUUUCUUUAUUGGGGUUGCGGACAUAUCAUAACGAAGAGGUAUCGUAAUUGAAGAGGUUUGGAAAGACCCACCACAGAAGGUAAUAGUCCUGUAUGUUAAACGAGAAGACUUCAGAUAUGAUCCAGAGUACCACGGGACACGUGAAACCCUGUGGGAAGCAGGAGGGACCACCCUCCAAGGCUAAAUACUACCUAGUGACCGAUAGCGUAUAGUACCGUGAGGGAAAGGUGAAAAGAACCCCGGGAGGGGAGUGAAAUAGAACCUGAAACCCUGCACUUACAAGCUGUGGAAGCACAUUUCUUGUGUGACCGCGUACUUUUUGUAGAACGGGCCAACGAGUUACGUUAAGUAGCAAGGUUAAGCACUUAAGGUGCGGAGCCGUAGCGAAAGCGAGUUUUAACUGAGCGUUCAGUUACUUGACGUAGACCCGAAACCGGGCGACCUACCCAUGAGCAGGAUGAAGCGAAAGUAAAAUUUCGUGGAGGUCCGAACCCACGAGCGUUGAAAAGCUCGGGGAUGACUUGUGGAUAGCGGUGAAAUUCCAAUCGAGCCCGGAGAUAGCUGGUUCUCCCCGAAAUAGCUUUAGGGCUAGCCUCAAGGUGAGAGAUACGGAGGUAGAGCACUGAAUGUCCUAGGGGGUAUUGCACCUACCGAAGACUAUCAAACUCCGAAUGCCGUCAUCUUAUACUUGGGAGUCAGACUGUGGGUGAUAAGAUUCAUAGUCGAAAGGGCAACAGCCCAGAUCGUCAGCUAAGGUCCCUAAAUGUAAGUUAAGUGGUAAAGGAUGUGGGAUUGCACAGACAACCAGGAUGUUGGCUUAGAAGCAGCCACUCAUUCAAAGAGUGCGUAAUAGCUCACUGGUCGAGUGAUCCUGCGCCGAAGAUUUCCGGGGCUAAAACUUACUACCGAAGCUACGGCAUCAGUAAUGAUGGGUAGGGGAGCUUCCCAUACGGGUUGAAGCGUGACCGUAAGGACAUGUGGACAGUAUGGGAGUGAGAAUGUUGGCAUGAGUAGCGAGAUGUGGGUGAGAAUCCCACAGGCCGUAAACCCAAGGUUUCCAGGGGAAGGUUCGUCCGCCCUGGGUUAGUCGGGACCUAAGCUGAGGCCGAAAGGCGUAGGUGAUGGACAACAGGUUGAUAUUCCUGUACUACCGAUAACCGUUUGAGAGAAGGGAUGACACAGUAGGAUAAGCUAAGCACACUGUUGGUUAUGUGUGCCCAAGCAUUGAGG
This 1513-nucleotide ribosomal RNA is filed under the name Clostridioides difficile. RNAcentral describes it as "partial 23S ribosomal RNA". It matches the Rfam family "Bacterial large subunit ribosomal RNA", at positions 1 to 1524 of the family's 2925-position model. Lineage: Bacteria; Bacillati; Bacillota; Clostridia; Peptostreptococcales; Peptostreptococcaceae. The record is from RNAcentral.